GCCUACAUGGUGAAAUAGGUAGACACGACAGACUUAAAAUCUGUUCCGUCUAGGGUGUGGGUUCAAGUCCCACUGUAGGUA
This 81-nucleotide transfer RNA is filed under the name Bulbochaete rectangularis var. hiloensis. Its description in RNAcentral is "tRNA-Leu". It matches the Rfam family "tRNA". Rfam says of the family: Transfer RNA (tRNA) molecules are approximately 80 nucleotides in length. Lineage: Eukaryota; Viridiplantae; Chlorophyta; Chlorophyceae; Oedogoniales; Oedogoniaceae. The record is from RNAcentral.